Molecule: ribosomal RNA, 1185 nt
Filed under: Triticum aestivum (bread wheat)
Lineage: Eukaryota; Viridiplantae; Streptophyta; Magnoliopsida; Poales; Poaceae
Description: partial small subunit ribosomal RNA
Source: RNAcentral
GACAGCUUGGCAAGAAAUACCGUGCGCGAGAUCCGGCAUUUGAAGCGUGCGGACGGUCCUGCGGCAGUGCUGGCCAUCGGGACAGCAAACCCGCCCAACCGAUUGUCCCAGGAGGAGUACGUGGAGUACUACUUCCGCGUCACCAAAAGCCAACACCUCACGGACCUCAAACGCAAAUUCAAGUUAAUAUGUGACAGGACUGCCACGGAGAAACGUUUCUUUCACCACACGCAGGAGCUGCUGGACGCCCACCCCCGCUUCUUCGACGGUGGACAGGACAGGCUGGAGAUCGCCGCUGCCGUUGCCCCGGAGCUCGCCGCGUCCGCGGCCACCAAGGCCAUAGCCAAGUGGGGCCGUCCAGCGACCGACAUAACCCACCUCAUCCUCAGCACCAACUCAUGCGCCCUUUCCCCGGGCGUCGACCUCCGCCUCGCAUCCCUGCUGGGCCUCGGAUCCUCUGUGGUCCGCACACUGCUCCAGCUCACCGGAUGCUCCGGCGGCUCCGCGUCGCUGCGCCUCGCCAAGGACAUUGCCGAGAAUAACUGUGGCGCCCGUGUCCUGGUGGCAUGCGUCGAGCUCAGCGUUGCUGCCUUGCGGGGGCCAGAGGAGAACUACCCCCACACCCUCAUUAGCCAGGCAAUUUUCAGUGACGGCGCCGGCGCGGUAAUCGUCGGCGCUGACGCGGUGCAUCCACUGGAGCGCCCGCUCUUUGAGAUGGUAUCCGCAUCACAGACCGUGAUUCCGGACACAGAUCGUGUUGCCGUUAUAAAAACCGGGGAAGGCGGCAUCUACCACCAAUUGUUUAUGCAGGAGCUUGCCCCUAUAGCUACACACAACAUCGAGAGGUGCAUAUCGGAUGAGCUCAAGCAGCUUGGAAUUGACGCCCAAUGGAACGACCUCUUCUGGGCAGUGCAUCCUGGCGUCACCGCACUCUUGGACAGCAUCGACCUGGCUCUCAUGUUGGACCCAGGGAAGUUGGCAGCAAGUCGGACCGUGCUGAGGGAGUACGGGAAUAUGCUCAGUGCCACAGUGAUUUUUGUGCUUGAUGAGCAGCGGCGCCGAAUGGAGGAGGACGGAGAGGAAGGUGUUUGGGGUGUGAUGCUGGGAUUUGGACCGGGGUUCACAAUUGAGACUAUGGUGCUGCAUGCGACCACAAAUCUCAAGCAAAAUCAUGCUAGAAUGUAG